AGCCUUGUGGUAAGCUCAAAGUGAAUUAUUCUGUCGCCUUUUACUAAAGAAUACCGUGUGCUUGCCACAUUAAGAGGCAUGCAUGCGAUAAUUUUUGAAGGGUUUUUAUCUAUUAAAAAU
This is a small nuclear RNA of Trifolium pratense (red clover), 120 nucleotides long. RefSeq annotates it as U5 spliceosomal RNA. The record is from RefSeq and is a predicted model, not a curated record. NCBI's taxonomy places the organism in Eukaryota, Viridiplantae, Streptophyta, Magnoliopsida, Fabales, Fabaceae. The transcript has a single exon.